RNAcentral lists this unclassified non-coding RNA (1517 nucleotides) under Hevea brasiliensis (rubber tree). Lineage: Eukaryota; Viridiplantae; Streptophyta; Magnoliopsida; Malpighiales; Euphorbiaceae. The record is from RNAcentral.
UUUUUUAUUGAAACAAAUCACACUAUAUUAUAUAAAAUUUACAAUAAUUGUAUUUUACAAAUUCUGCAGCAGAUGAGCUGAAAAAUCCUGUAAUUCUGAAGGCUAAUAAAAGCUCGGCAUGCAUUGAAAAAGGGGGGAUCUGCCGCUUGAGAACAGUUUUACAGACUUUUACAACCAAACCUGAACAGGAAAAUAGUGAUGGGAUACCAAAGUGGCUAAUACAUAAAGCUUGUACUAGCCACUUUGGUAUAUUCUAAAUUACAUUUGCCAAAGCUGUAAAUUUUACAAUGAUAUUUAAGUUUCAACAUCCAGCUUGCUUCCACAAAUGAGAUUGAUUGUAAGUGUCACCACUCACCAGUAAAGGCAAAUUCCCCACCUUUUGCAUUGUCAUCACUCAUGAACUCUUUAAAUAGCAGCCAGAGAGGUCUUGCACACUCAAACUAAUUGCAGAAUAAUCAGCUGUGUUAUACACACGGAUGGGGAUCAACAUAAAGGUCGCCAACACUAUCAUUUUCAUUUAUCCUGUUUCUACCACUACCUUUUAGACUCAGAAUCAUGGCCCCUUCGAAAUGAUUCCACUCGAUNNNNNNNNNNNGUCGAGCUGUUCUCCAUGAGAGAGAAUUAGUUGAUUUAAGCAACAAGCCCAGAGCUGAGGAGCAUGUUGCCCUAACAACUGCAUCUGCUGACCGACUUAUCUUCCCCACCAGCAUCCCAAACACCUUUGUGUAGUAUAGGGCUAAAAUGCGCUGAUCAUCUGAAAGUGAUAGCAUGCUGCUUGCCAAAUAAAUAGCAUUUGCCUGUAUUAUUGGCCAAGGUGCAUCCAACGCCUGUAUCGUUGAUACCAUGUAAGUGUCUACUCUGGAAGGAAGAUGCUGGGCAAUCUGCCUAGUGAAGUCUCUAAGAAAGUCCUCAUAGUCAUUUCGAUGAUCAGAAGUGAAAUACUGCAAAUUCAAUAAUGUAGCUAACCCUUCCAUCUCCAUCAAGGGGGUAAUACGUUUGAGAGUGUUUCGGCAAGCUUGUCGCACACUAAUAUCUUCAUCAUGAAGGUGCAAAAUCAAGCGAGGAAUAGCAGCAUGUAUCUGUUCAAGAAAUAUUUCAUGAUGUGCCCCAACUCCAUAGCUGCUUAGUGUUCCAAAUGCAGCAAAGGCAGUGGAUCGUAUCUUCGUGUUCAAGCAUAUUUGAAGAUUGCGAAGCCGGACAGAAAGAUUAAGCAAAAUGGGCUCUACUGCAUCACUGGGUGAUGACUCAAGUACCGUCAGUAAGCAUGAAACAGCAGUUAAUUGCACUGAUUCAUCUAAAUCAUCCAGCAAUGCUACUAUCACACCCAAAAUUUGAGUUGUGUACUGAUAAAUAUGAAUAGAUGGUAUCUGCACUAGCCCUCUUAAACAAAGGCAUCUAACAGUUGGAGACUCAUCUGAUACAUGUCGACAUAAUGCUUCAACCAUCUGCUCCAAUAAGGAACUAAAUCCACCACUGCAUCAUCAAAAAACUAGAGAAUUAAGGCAAUUAAUAGUAAG